GAGAGUACAGCUCAGUGGUAGAGUCCAUGCUUAGCAUGCAGGAGGUCCUGGGUUCAAUUCCUAGUACCUCCA
RNAcentral lists this transfer RNA (72 nucleotides) under Camelus bactrianus (Bactrian camel). It matches the Rfam family "tRNA". Rfam says of the family: Transfer RNA (tRNA) molecules are approximately 80 nucleotides in length. Their secondary structure includes four short double-helical elements and three loops (D, anti-codon, and T loops). RNAcentral also lists the same sequence under 2 other names. The record is from Rfam by way of RNAcentral. Lineage: Eukaryota; Metazoa; Chordata; Mammalia; Artiodactyla; Camelidae.